Long non-coding RNA from Erinaceus europaeus (western European hedgehog), 564 nucleotides. RefSeq lists it as uncharacterized. The transcript has 3 exons. The record is from RefSeq and is a predicted model, not a curated record. NCBI's taxonomy places the organism in Eukaryota, Metazoa, Chordata, Mammalia, Eulipotyphla, Erinaceidae.
ACCCUCCCCCCAUACUCUCUCGCUCCAGCUCGCGACCUGGAGGCUCCGCCCCAGCCCGAGACUCGGCGAGGUCUGACCCCUGAGCGAGACCCCAUUUGCACCCCUUCCGCAAGGAAUGACCCCUGCUGUGUUCUGCAGCCUAGACAGCUACACACCUUGACCUGGGUGUUUCCUCAGGGAGCCAGCACCAAGGUCACUACCUUGUGCCUGCAGGAAGUGUGAGGCCACCAGGUUCAAGAUGCUAGCAUGAUGCCAACCGGACUUCCCUGGGCAGACAACCCCACCAAUGUAUCCUGGAGCCCCACUUCCCCAGAGCCCUGCCCCACUAGACUAGGAAGAAGAGAUACAGGUUGGGAGUAUGGAUCCACCUGUCAACGCCCAUAUUCAGCGGGGAAACAGUUACAGAAGCCAGGCCUUCUAUCUUCUGCACCCUAUAAUGACGCUGGGUCCAUACUCCCAGAAGGUUAAAGAAUUGGAAAGCUAUCAGGGGAGGGAAUGGGAUAUAGAGUUCUGGUGGUGGGAAUUGUGUGGAAUUGUACCCCUCUUAUCCUAUGGUCCUGUCAG